This is an RNA transcript of Solanum dulcamara, 2181 nucleotides long. It is a transcript of the gene named inositol 3-kinase-like, with no coding region annotated. Lineage: Eukaryota; Viridiplantae; Streptophyta; Magnoliopsida; Solanales; Solanaceae. The record is from RefSeq and is a predicted model, not a curated record. The transcript is spliced from 8 exons.
UUAAGUGAUAGAUUAAAGUGAUAAUGUUUACUUCAUUAAUUAAUUGAGAUUUGAGUAGAACAAUGUGUAUAUUAUGAAUUUAUUGGAUUGGUUUAAAUAGUUCGUAAUAUGAUGAGACAGAAUGAAUAUUUAAUUAGUAACUUGUUUUUUUUUCUAAAAGAGAGGGAACUUUUAUCUUUAUAUCCGUGGGUCGAUAAACAAUGGCAUGCCCUCCCAUAUCCCUUUUAUAUAUAUUUUGCCAAACAACAAAAACACACGUAAAACAUACACAGAAUUGCUUAUGCACGUAGCUGUUUCAGCCAUUUUUCUUUGCGGCGUAUUUGCCAAAUUGUUUUUCUUCAAUACCUUUUUCACUCUUUUGGUGAGAACUGAGAAACCAUGCAAGUAGCUCUGUAUUCAAAUUAUUAGAUUGAGUUGAAACUUGAAGCCCUACCUUUUUUGAUUUUAUCGGAGCCCAUACAAAGUGGGGCUAGAAGAUUUUGAGAAGAAAAAACUUAAAUUAUGGUGAAGGAAGCGAAAGAUUUAUCAAUACCCACAACCCAUCGGUGCUUAAUUGUGGGGAAUUACUGUCAUGAUGUUCUGAUCAAAGACGACGUCGUAAUAGCGGAGUCACUCGGCGGAGCAGCGUCGUUUCGUGCUUGACGGUUUGUCGGUUUCUUCCGACUACAUUUCUAAAGUGGGUAAUGAUUUUAUGUACUCUGUUAAUCAUCAGCCGAUCACUUCGUCCUCUUCCAAAACCACCGUUUUCCACGCCCAUUUCUCAACCGAGAGCAAACGGCAAGAUUGGAUCCUAAAAAGGGUCGUUGCAUGUGACUUGGUAACUCCCUCGGAUCUCCCGAACUCAAAAUUUGAUUUUGGAUUGGCUGUAGGUGUUGGUGGGGAGAUUUUGCCCGAAACCCUUGAGCGGAUGAUUGAGAUGUGUGAGGUGGUGUUUGUUGAUAUCCAAGCUUUAAUUCGGGUAUUCGACCCGGUUGAUGGAACAGUGAAUCUUGUGCAUUUGAAUCAAACCGGGUUUUGGCUUUUGUUGGAAAGAAUUGUUUUUUUGAAGGCGUCGGCGGAGGAGGCACCAUAUGUGGAUGUGGAGGAAGCAAGGAAAUGGUGUUGUGUGGUGGUGACAAAAGGGAAAGAAGGGUGUACCGUGUAUUCUAAAGAUGAAGAAUUGUCCGUUGCGCCUUUUCCAGCUUAUCAAGUUGAUCCAACAGGAGCUGGUGAUAGCUUUCUUGGAGGUUUAGUUGCAGGGCUUGUUCAUGGAUUGGCAAUACCAGAUGCUGCAUUGCUGGGGAACUUUUUCGGAUCACUGACUGUAGGGCAUAUUGGGCUUCCCAAGUUCGACUCGCGGAUGGUACAGUAUAGGGAGUCCGGAGUUCUAUUAUGGAGAGGGUUUACCAUUCAAGAAUUUGCCAAUCAGUUGUUUGGAAACAAAAACGAUUAUGGAAAAGGCAGGCAGAUGCCUGUCCAUUAUGGAUCUAAUAAGCACAAUUAUAUUACUGUUGCAUCAACAGUAGCUACUCAGCUUCCACAUGCUGUUGGUGCUGCAUAUGCUCUAAAGAUGGACGCGAAAAAUGCAUGUACAAUUGUAUAUUUUGGAGAUGGAGGCUCUAGUACGGGAGAUUUUCAUGCUGCUCUGAACUUUGCCGCCGUGUUAGAUGCACCAGUUAUCUUUUUCUGCCGGAACAAUGGUUUUGCAAUAAGCACACCUGUUAAUGAGCAGUUUCAAAGUGAUGGUGUGGUUACCAAAGGACAGGGCUAUGGAAUUCGUAGUAUUCGUGUGGAUGGUAACGAUGCUCUUGCUGUUUUCACCGCUGUCCAUGAGGCACGAAAAAUGGCUGUUAAUGAACAUAAACCUGUUCUAGUUGAGGCUCUUACUUAUAGAGCAGGACAUCAUUCAACCUCAGAUGACUCAACCAAAUAUCGUCCAGCUAACGAAAUCGAAUGGUGGAGAACAGCAAGAGACCCUGUAAGCAGAUUUAGGAAAUGGAUUGAAAGGGAAGGCUGGUUGAACUCUCAGGUUGAAUCCGAACUUUGCAGUAAUAUCAGGAAGCAGAUAAAGGUGAGACUUUGAGUUGGGGUGGGGGACAAUCAGGAAGACUUGGUCAUGGACAUCAAUCAGGCAUUUUUGGACUCUUAAAAAGUGACAGUGAAUACGCACCACGACUUAUUAAGGAACUUGAGGGGUUGAAG